UUAAAGGCGAUGAUAAAGAAAAGUACAUGUUUUUGAAGCUCGCAGAGAGCCUGUGGCCGGUGGAAACAGGCAGUGAAUGAACAUGGAAUGGGCUUUUGAGCUCCUGUCUGAACAUUGUUUAGUAGGAACAGGCGUGUGUGUCCGCACGAUAGAAAGGGCGCCGUAUGACAGUACGGGUUAGAGAUAUUCUUUUUUUAUGGAAUAACAAGGGUGGCACCACGGUCCAUUCGUCCCUUUU
Molecule: non-coding RNA, 238 nt
Filed under: Fictibacillus enclensis
Lineage: Bacteria; Bacillati; Bacillota; Bacilli; Caryophanales; Fictibacillaceae
Description: T-box sequence
Rfam family: T-box leader
About the family: Uncharged tRNA acts as the effector for transcription antitermination of genes in the T-box leader family. T-boxes are found upstream of many aminoacyl-tRNA synthetase genes and some amino acid biosynthetic genes usually in Gram-positive bacteria. The anticodon of a specific tRNA base pairs to a specifier sequence within the T-box motif, and the NCCA acceptor tail of the tRNA base pairs to a conserved bulge in the T-box antiterminator hairpin.
Source: RNAcentral